Long non-coding RNA from Felis catus (domestic cat), 4095 nucleotides. RefSeq lists it as uncharacterized. The record is from RefSeq and is a predicted model, not a curated record. Lineage: Eukaryota; Metazoa; Chordata; Mammalia; Carnivora; Felidae. The transcript has 3 exons.
AGCCCGCGCCUUCGGGGCGCCGCAGCUCACGCGGGGCCCACAGGCGUCCGCGCUACAAGCCCUCCCUUCCCGCCCCGCGCAUAGAGGCCUGACGGGCAACUUGGGGGUUCCCCUAAGAUGCCUCCUGCCCGAGGCCCAUUUGUUCCGUCUCCUGACUCAGCAACUGUUCCACCACCCGAGGCCAAGUGGCUGUUCUUAAGCUUGAAGACCAGAGACAAGUGGACAUGAUUCCCCAAAUGGGCAGCAGGUUAAAAUCAGAAUGAGUUCAGCCACAAGAAACAUUGGUGGAGAGAGAAGAGUUUUAGAAAAGUUCUGGGACUUGAGGAAAAGAGAUGACAGAGAAAGACCUCCAUAGAGAAUGAGAGCAUCAGUCAACCACAAAGCACAAGGCACAGAGGCUGUCCUCAAAAGAACGAUGGAGUCCAUGAAGGGAAUCCCUGUGGCUUCGAAAGGGUGAUAUCUGACACUGGUAUGCAGGAGUUAGGUGUUACUGCUCCCUGCUAGCACCGUCAUCCAUUAACUUCCUACAUUUGAGAAAAUCUCCAUACUUUGUAAAAAUGUACAACAGUACACCAAACUAUGGGUAUUUUUAGUGCUGCACCCAUCACCUGGCACGUAGUAGUUAAGAAAAAAGAAAAGGGAUAAAUGACUGGAUUAGUGGAGCUUUGGGGAAUGUCUACAUGACAUUUGGACUGUGCCUUGGAUAAAGUAUGAGGAGGGAAGGCUGUUAGAUAUGUAGAUAAAACAACUAUAGGUUAAAAAAAACAGAGAGCAAAAAAGAUUCAGAGUUCAGAGUAGGCAGUGUAUCCAGCACCAUGUAUUUAGGCAUACGUGCCCUGUGCCAUUUGAGGAAUCCUUAGAAAUACUGGGGAAGGAACGACACUGAAUUUCCAUCAGUGGGUUGGGAUGGAAGCUUGUGUAACUGUAUGAGAGUAUCAAAGGAAAGGUUGGCUUCCAGAGGCUGAAAGACUUGGGGAUGUUAGGCAACAUGUAAUAGAUUCAUUUCAGCUAAGCCUCAUAAAUGUGCACUCAGCUUCGCAAGAGUUAUAAAUUACUGACCUAGCUCUUGUCUGCAAAGGGAAAAUGCAAAACGGAAGGUGCACAGUCCGAUUUGAGGUCAAACCAGUGUGCAACUGAACAGAGAAGCCCUACCAGCUGCCUAUGUAUAAAUGCCAUCUGACAGGCUUUUACAUUUUAUGUUGGACCCUUGAAAGAAGAGGAUCCCACUCCACUGGAGACUGAACAUUGUUAUUUGCCAUGGGUGCACAAGGACCCGGAGCAAGUCAUGAAUGGGGCACUAAGUCUGUUCGUGCAGGGGCCCAGAUGGAGAACUAUGUCUGUGGGAGCAGUGUUCCCAGGCACACAGAUGUUCUGCCUUCUCGUAGCUCUCAGAAGGGCUGUCCACUCAGACAUAGCCCCUAUUUUCUCUGUUCUCCGAGGAGGCCCAGGGGAUGAGUAGCAGAAUGGUGGUACCAGGGCUAUGGAAACAUCCUACUCCCAUGUCAGUUAAAAAGCAAAAUGUUGUAUGACAAAGCUUCACUGUAACAAAGGACCAAAACAUCCUUUCUGGAUGUUUCCUCUCCAAGAGUUCUAAGUUUGUUUUUAUAUCUCGGUACACAGUUUGUGCUAAGCACUAGCAGACUGGGCUCAAAUUUUCACGGUAACAAAACUGAGGUGUACAAAUAGUAAAUUACUUUAUUUCUCCAUAACUGAACUGAAUUUGGCCCCCGAGCCAAAUUUCUGCUGAUAGUGGUGAAUUUUAUGUGGAAAUCGAGGCUCACUCUCUCAAAUCAGUGAUUACUUAGUACUUUCAGUUAUAAAUUCAUGCUCUUUUUGGUAACUUCUCAGACUAUCACAAUGUGUCCCCUUCUCUUUCACAUCUCUCUCCAAGGGCCAUCUAUAUUCUGAGUGUGUGUGUGGCAGGGGAGGAGGGUAUACCAUCUUAAGUUUGGAAGAAAGACAUUUAAUCUAGAACAGUGCUUUUCAAAGUGAGGUCCUCAACCCACAAUAUCCGUGCCACCCAGGAACUUGUUAGAAAUGUCAGUACUUGGACCCCAUUCGACAUAGACCUACUGAAUCAGAAACUCUGGAUGAGCGGUCCAGGAAUCUGGGUUCCAACAGGGAGUCCAGCUGCUUCCGACGUUCCCUCACCGUUGAAAGCUUUGGUCCAUAGUGAUCAGCAUCCACCCACCUUGAUUUCUGAUGAGAGGUAUGAUCAUGGCUGGCCUUUGGUUUUGUGGCACCCCACUCAUUGCAUGCGUGACUGAAAAUGCCCUUCUCUGCUCAUGGGCCAAAUAUGUGCUCAUUCUGCUUCCUCCUUAGCUUGACCGGGUGCCAGACUUGCCCGUCUCAGAGCUUGCAACACUCUUACAUGCGGUUCUGUAGCCAUUUCUACUUUCCAACUUGUGUUCCAUGCUCCAUAUAGAGUUUAUCUCAAGAGUUGAGGUCUCCCUACUGUAUCUGGAAUCUGUGAGAUGCAUCUCUUUCCUGGAUUCCCCCAAACAUCAGUGGAGUUUUGAUCAUCUGUACUCAUCAGGGAUUGACCUGAGGAGAGGGCAGGAUGGAAGCCCUGAUUCUCAACCUCCUGAGCCUUAAUUUAUUCUGCUAUUCAUUUCUUUACCUUUCCUCUCCUUCUCCUCCAAGGUCAGGAAGUUGUCUUUUAGUUUGUUUUGUUUUUUUGCUUUAGUUUUGUUCUUUGCUUUUUAGUUUGUUUUGUUUGUGUGCUUCCGGUGGAAAGGAAAAAAAAAAAUCCUGGCUAGACACAUAGACUUCUAAACCUACCCUUUUUGAUAAGACCCAUGCUGUUUAUACAAAUCUCUUUUUUCUCUCUCUAAUAAUGUCCACUUCUAUUAUUGAAAAACUUAACCUGCAAUUCUACUGGCCCAUGAAAAGUUUCAAAACCUUAGCAUUGACUGGUUUUUUGCAUCUUUGUUGCAAUAAUCCUCAUUUUCUUUUAGACAAUGAUACCCCUAACUGAAUAGAGGAAGAUGAAGUAUAAGGAUGUGUAGAAAAGCAAACCCAUUAAUUAAAAUUUUAAGAUAUUAUCAUACCACACCUGAAUUAGAAACACUGAAAGUUUCGUAAGUAUACUACCUGAUUCUAGUCACUUCACACUGAAAUCCUUCUAUUAACUAAUUCUCCUAAAACACUCCUUUUAACAUAUCGUUUUCCUCCUUGGGUUCUUUCAAUAGGUACCUUUUAGCAGAAGUUAUAGACAAAUAUUGAUGCUUAUUCAUUUUCCAUGCACACAUACAAUAUUUGAAAAUGAAUGAAUGAAUUCCAAACCACGACUGACCUGGUCUUUACUCUUGUACUAAACAGUAUUUCUAACAUAUCACUUACUCCCACAAUACUAAGCCUAAUUUACAUCAUAAAGAGAUUUCAUAUUAAAAAUGUAGUCCCCCUUGGUGGGCUCAGCCUAACUCCUGACUCCAGGACCUAGCAUCAAUCUUCAACUUUGGUAAGGAAAAUUUAAGCAACGUCAGACCAAAACUCCAGACUCAGAAUCAAGUCACUCCAAUGGCCCAUCAGGCCCUGUUACAAUAAGGUUUCUGCUUUAUUCUCAAGAAUCAGUCUCUAUCAUAAUUCCCAGUCAUUAUAUGUUUGGCUUUCUUUCUAUUGAAAUUCAGCAAUGGCAGUAACAUUAAGUAUUCAGUGAUACUGUUAUAAUUCAUUGGGGUUUUUCCUUUUUUUUUUUAAUGUUUAUUCAUUUUUGAGAGACAGAGCGUAAGCAAGGGAUGGGCAGAGAGAGAGGGGGACAGAGGAUGUGAAACAGGCUCUGCCCUGACAGCAGCGAGCCCCAAUGCGGGGCUCGAACUCGUGAACCAAACCGCAAGAUCAUCACCCAAGCUGAAGUCAGACAUUCAACCGACUGAACCACACAGGUGCCUCUGGGAUUGUUCAUUUUAUUGGUGCUAUUAAAGUAUUUCCAAUGACAUUUGCAAAUUCAGGUUUUCCUCCCUUCACUAUAGCACUGGUGCUCUGAUGUGACCCAAAAUGUAUUUCAUUUGCUAGGAUUUCACAGGGCUAGAAGACUGAGCCCUCUUUAGUAAUUUAUUCCAACACUAUGGAUUCAAUAAAAUGGUUAUAUCUAAA